GCGAGAGUGGCGGAAUUGGCAGACGCGCUGGGCUUAGGACCCAGUUCCGUUUCGGCGGAUUGGGGGUUCAAAUCCCCCCUCUCGCA
This 86-nucleotide transfer RNA is filed under the name Planctomycetes bacterium DG_23. RNAcentral's name for it is "tRNA-Leu". It matches the Rfam family "tRNA". Rfam says of the family: Transfer RNA (tRNA) molecules are approximately 80 nucleotides in length. Their secondary structure includes four short double-helical elements and three loops (D, anti-codon, and T loops). The record is from RNAcentral. Lineage: Bacteria; Pseudomonadati; Planctomycetota. RNAcentral also lists the same sequence under 1 other name.